RNAcentral lists this ribosomal RNA (405 nucleotides) under Triticum aestivum (bread wheat). RNAcentral describes it as "partial small subunit ribosomal RNA". The record is from RNAcentral. Lineage: Eukaryota; Viridiplantae; Streptophyta; Magnoliopsida; Poales; Poaceae.
AUGAACCGAGCAGGCCGGCUCGCGCUGGUGAAAUCGGUGCUCAGCGCGAUCCCGCUGCACCAGCUGCUUGUGUUGGCGCCCCCAAAGAGGAUCCUCCGCAUGCUUGAGCGUAUCCAGCGUGGGUUCCUUUGGGCCGGGCGCGCCGAGGCCAAGGGAGGCCACUGCCACGUUAACUGGCGUCGUGUCGCGCGCCCCAGGAGCCUCGGCGGGCUGGGCGUGCAUGAUCUGGAGCACACUGGCAUGGCGCUCAAGACCCGUUGGCUCUGGUUCAGCAAAACUGACGGGCGCCGUGCUUGGGCUGGUCUCGACCUCCAGUUCUCUGCUGAGGAGCAGGCCUUCUUCUUCGCCAGCACCCACACAUCCAUUGGGAACGGCCACACACCAAAUUUUGGGAGGACCGAUUGA